This 521-nucleotide ribosomal RNA is filed under the name Colletotrichum gloeosporioides. RNAcentral describes it as "eukaryotic LSU rRNA". The stretch from base 178 to 331 matches the Rfam family "5.8S ribosomal RNA". Lineage: Eukaryota; Fungi; Ascomycota; Sordariomycetes; Glomerellales; Glomerellaceae. The record is from RNAcentral.
CAUUACUGAGUUUACGCUCUAUAACCCUUUGUGAACAUACCUAUAACUGUUGCUUCGGCGGGUAGGGUCUCCGUGACCCUCCCGGCCUCCCGCCCCCGGGCGGGUCGGCGCCCGCCGGAGGAUAACCAAACUCUGAUUUAACGACGUUUCUUCUGAGUGGUACAAGCAAAUAAUCAAAACUUUUAACAACGGAUCUCUUGGUUCUGGCAUCGAUGAAGAACGCAGCGAAAUGCGAUAAGUAAUGUGAAUUGCAGAAUUCAGUGAAUCAUCGAAUCUUUGAACGCACAUUGCGCCCGCCAGCAUUCUGGCGGGCAUGCCUGUUCGAGCGUCAUUUCAACCCUCAAGCUCUGCUUGGUGUUGGGGCCCUACAGCUGAUGUAGGCCCUCAAAGGUAGUGGCGGACCCUCCCGGAGCCUCCUUUGCGUAGUAACUUUACGUCUCGCACUGGGAUCCGGAGGGACUCUUGCCGUAAAACCCCCCAAUUUUCCAAAGGUUGACCUCGGAUCAGGUAGGAAUACCCGC